AAAAAACCCAAAACCCCUUCCCUUCUCUUUCACUUUCACGUGGAUUUCAAACCCUCAAGAACUCCCUCCCUCUCGCUGCCGUCCACCUCCUGCUCUCCUCACCGUCGACCUUGCGGUUGCCCAGCCGCCGCCGCAUCACCACCGCGCCGAGCAUUCGUAGCCUGGCUGUAACCGCCGCCCUGCGCCCUCGCCGUCCACCUUGCGCGCCACCGCAGGUAGCACCACCGUGUGCCGCCGUCGCUCAGCCCUGCCGCAAGCCACCUCUGUCCGUCGGCCAACUCUCUCUCCUCCUCCUUGAAUUGGUGGAGAAUUCUCUUUAGGCGACUUUUGAAAGUGUUAAAGUGGCCUAUCAGUUUGUUUACACAAGUCUCUAGGGAUCAAUAAGCAUCGUCCAUUACAGGUUUGAAGGUGAUGCAUCAUGGGGUUCGGGAUCGAAGAGCGGUGUAGUUAUUAAAUUGUUUUGUUUUAAGUUUGAUGUUGAAUUUGUUUGGCCU
Long non-coding RNA from Spinacia oleracea (spinach), 494 nucleotides. RefSeq lists it as uncharacterized. Lineage: Eukaryota; Viridiplantae; Streptophyta; Magnoliopsida; Caryophyllales; Amaranthaceae. The record is from RefSeq and is a predicted model, not a curated record. The transcript has 5 exons.